GAUGAACGCUAGCGACAGGCUUAACACAUGCAAGUCGAGGGGCAGCGAGGGCGUAGCAAUACGCCUGUCGGCGACCGGCGCACUGGUGAGUAACACGUAUGCGACCUGCCCCCUACAGGGGUAUAACCCGUAGAAAUGCGGACUAAUCCCCCAUAGUCCUGGGUGUUGCAUGGCAUUCAGGGGAAAGGUCAGCCGGUAGGGGAUGGGCAUGCGGCGCAUUAGCUAGUUGGCGGGGCAACGGCCCACCAAGGCGACGAUGCGUAGGGGUUCUGAGAGGAAGGUCCCCCACACUGGUACUGAGACACGGACCAGACUCCUACGGGAGGCAGCAGUGAGGAAUAUUGGUCAAUGGGCGCAGGCCUGAACCAGCCAAGUCGCGUGAGGGAAGACGGUCCUACGGGAUUGGUAAACCUCUUUUUGUCGGGGAGUAACGUGCGGGACGCGUCCCGUAUUGAGAGUACCCGAAGAAAAGCAUCGGCUAACUACGUGCCAGCAGCCG
RNAcentral lists this ribosomal RNA (499 nucleotides) under uncultured bacterium. Its description in RNAcentral is "bacterial SSU rRNA". It matches the Rfam family "Bacterial small subunit ribosomal RNA", at positions 28 to 517 of the family's 1533-position model. The record is from RNAcentral.